This 210-nucleotide ribosomal RNA is filed under the name uncultured Turicibacter sp. RNAcentral describes it as "partial 16S ribosomal RNA". It matches the Rfam family "Bacterial small subunit ribosomal RNA", at positions 568 to 774 of the family's 1533-position model. Lineage: Bacteria; Bacillati; Bacillota; Erysipelotrichia; Erysipelotrichales; Turicibacteraceae. The record is from RNAcentral.
CGCGCAGGUGGUUGAUUAAGUCUGAUGUGAAAGCCCCACGGCUUAACCGUGGAGGGUCAUUGGAAACUGGUUGACUUGAGUGCAGAAGAGGGAAGUGGAAUUCCAUGUGUAGCGGUGAAAUGCGUAGAGAUAUGGAGGAACACCAGUGGCGAAGGCGGCUUCCUGGUCUGUAACUGACACUGAGGCGCGAAAAGCGUGGGGGAGCAAACA